RNAcentral lists this ribosomal RNA (468 nucleotides) under uncultured bacterium. Its description in RNAcentral is "partial 16S ribosomal RNA". It matches the Rfam family "Bacterial small subunit ribosomal RNA", at positions 28 to 507 of the family's 1533-position model. The record is from RNAcentral.
GACGAACGCUGGCGGCGUGCUUAACACAUGCAAGUCGAACGGAAAGGCCCUGCUUUUGUGGGGUGCUCGAGUGGCGAACGGGUGAGUAACACGUGAGUAACCUGCCCUUGACUUUGGGAUAACUUCAGGAAACUGGGGCUAAUACCGGAUAGGUGCUCCUGCUGCAUGGUGGGGGUUGGAAAGUUUCGGCGGUUGGGGAUGGACUCGCGGCUUAUCAGCUUGUUGGUGGGGUAGUGGCUUACCAAGGCUUUGACGGGUAGCCGGGCUGAGAGGGUGACCGGCCACAUUGGGACUGAGAUACGGCACAGACUCCUACGGGAGGCAGCAGUGGGGAAUGUUGCACAAUGGGCGGAAGCCUGAUGCAGCAACGCGGCGUGCGGGAUGACGGCCUUCGGGUUGUAAACCGCUUUCGCGUGUGACGAAGCGUGAGUGACGGUAAUGGGUAAAGAAGCACCGGCUAACUACGUG